UACGGAGGAAAAGAAACCAACAGGGAUUGCCCCAGUAACGGCGAGUGAAGCGGCAACAGCUCAAAUUUGAAAUCUGGCGCCCCCCCGCGGGCGCCCGAGUUGUAAUUUGCAGAGGAUGCUUUUGGCGAGGCGCCUUCCGAGUGCCCUGGAACGGGACGCCACAGAGGGUGAGAGCCCCGUCUGGUCGGCCGCCGAGCCUCUGUAAAGCUCCUUCGACGAGUCGAGUAGUUUGGGAAUGCUGCUCUAAUCGGGAGGUAUAUGUCUUCUAAAGCUAAAUACCGGCCAGAGACCGAUAGCGCACAAGUAGAGUGAUCGAAAGAUGAAAAGCACCUUGAAAAGAGGGUUAAACAGUACGUGAAAUUGUUGAAAGGGAAGCGCUCAUGACCAGACUUGGGCCCUGCGGAUCAGCCGGCGGUCCUCCGCCGGCGCACUCCGCCGGGCGCAGGCCAGCAUCAGCUCGCGCCGGGGGACAAAGGCGGCGGGAACGUGGCUCCCCCAGGGGAGUGUUAUAGCCCGCCGCGCAAUGCCCCGGGGGCGGACUGAGGCCCGCGCGCUCCUGCGCAUGGAUGCUGGCGUAAUGGUCAUUAGUGACCCGUCUU
Molecule: ribosomal RNA, 599 nt
Filed under: Moelleriella turbinata
Lineage: Eukaryota; Fungi; Ascomycota; Sordariomycetes; Hypocreales; Clavicipitaceae
Description: LSU rRNA
Rfam family: Eukaryotic large subunit ribosomal RNA
Source: RNAcentral